Non-coding RNA from Pelobates cultripes (western spadefoot toad), 695 nucleotides. The record is from the annotation of a GenBank genome assembly. Lineage: Eukaryota; Metazoa; Chordata; Amphibia; Anura; Pelobatidae.
CUGCACAUUGACAGGCAGCGGGUGAGACUGAGAUAAGCGGCCGAGAGCCACAAACCGGGGGAGUCACAGGGGCCCCCCGACCGCACUGUGCACCCAGCCUGGGGGGGCCUGACCGGGGCCGUAAUAACUCCCUGACCGGGGCCGUAAUAACUCCCUGACCGGGGCCGUAAUAACUCCCUGACCGGGGCCGUAAUAACUCCCUGACCGGGGCCGUAAUAACUCCCUGACCGGGGCCGUAAUAACUCCCUGACCGGGGCCGUAAUAACUCCGUGACCGGGGCCGUAAUAACUCCCUGACCGGGGCCGUAAUAACUCCCUGACCGGGGCCGUAAUAACUCCGUGACCGGGGCCGUAAUAACUCCGUGACCGGGGCCGUAAUAACUCCGUGACCGGGGCCGUAAUAACUCCGUGACCGGGGCCGUAAUAACUCCGUGACCGGGGCCGUAAUAACUCUCUGACCGGGGCCGUAAUAACUCUCUGACCGGGGCCGUAAUAACUCUCUGACCGGGGCCGUAAUAACUCUCUGACCGGGGCCGUAAUAACUCCCUGACCGGGGCCGUAAUAACUCCCUGACCGGGGCCGUAAUAACUCCCUGACCGGGGCCGUAAUAACUCCGUGACCGGGGCCGUAAUAACUCCCUGACCGGGGCCGUAAUAACUCCCUGACCGGGGCCGUAAUAACUCCGUGACCGGGGCC